GACGAACGCUGGCGGCGUGCCUAAUACAUGCAAGUAGAACGAAGUUGCGAACGGGUGAGUAACGAGUAGGUAACUACCUGGUAGCGGGGGAGAACUAUUGGAAACGAUAGCUACUAACGCAGACUACCAGAUGGACAUGCGUUUGAUUAGCUAGUUGGGUGGGUAACGGCUCACCAAGGCAACGAUACAUAGCCGUCCGGAGAGGGAGAACGGCCACACUGGGACUUAGAAACGGGCCAGACUCCGACGGGAGGCAGCAGUAGGGAAUCUUUGGAAAUGGACGGAAGGCUGACCGAACAACGGCGGGUGAGUGAAGAAGGUUCUCGGAUCGUAAAGCUCUGUUGUAAGAGGAGCGGUAUCUGACCAGAAAGCGACGGCUAACUACGUGCCAGCCGCCGCGGUAAUUC
RNAcentral lists this ribosomal RNA (407 nucleotides) under uncultured bacterium. Its description in RNAcentral is "partial 16S ribosomal RNA". It matches the Rfam family "Bacterial small subunit ribosomal RNA", at positions 28 to 526 of the family's 1533-position model. The record is from RNAcentral.